AUGCAUCUUAGAUACAGCAGAAAGAAGAAAAAAAAGGUCCAACCUGAGACCUCAUCUGCAGGGCUCGUUUUCAGAGUAACAAAAGAAUCCAUAGAGAAAGUAGUUCAAAGAAAAAGCAAGAUAUCUCAAUUCUCACUUUUCUCGCUCAACACUUCAAUUCCUCAGUUAUCAUUGCGAUUCUGUAGAAUCGUUGACAGGACGCUUUGUGGUUGA
Non-coding RNA from Vicia faba (fava bean), 213 nucleotides. The record is from the annotation of a GenBank genome assembly. Lineage: Eukaryota; Viridiplantae; Streptophyta; Magnoliopsida; Fabales; Fabaceae.